RNAcentral lists this ribosomal RNA (372 nucleotides) under uncultured organism. RNAcentral describes it as "bacterial SSU rRNA". It matches the Rfam family "Bacterial small subunit ribosomal RNA", at positions 526 to 896 of the family's 1533-position model. The record is from RNAcentral.
CGAGUGCCCCGAGCGUUAUCCGGAAUCAUUGGGCGUAAAGGGUGUGUAGGUGGUCAGAUUAGUCUUGUGUUAAAUUCUUCGGCUUAACCGGGGGCAUGCAUAGGAAACGGUCUGACUUGAGGAUGCGAGAGGUGUGUGGAGCUCAUGGUGUAGGGGUGAAAUCCGUUGAUAUCAUGGGGAACACCAAAAGCGAAGGCAGCACACUGGCGCAUUCCUGACACUGAAACACUAAAGCGUGGGUAGCGAAUGGGAUUAGAUACCCCAGUAGUCCACGCCCUAAACGAUGUUCAUUAGGUUUUCGGAGUAUCGACCCUCUGAGAGCCGAAGCUAACGCAUUAAAUGAACCGCCUGGGUAGUACGGCCGCAAGGCUA